GGGGGGGGGGGGGGGGGGGGGGGGCAGGGGCGGGGGGGGGGACGAACGAGGGGUUGCCCUGGGGCAAAGCAGCGAACGGGUGAGUAACCCGUGGGUAACCUACCCCGAUAACCGGGACAACCCGCGGAAACUCGGGCUACUACCGGAUGUGCUCCCUGGACGUCGGUUCAGUGCGUAAAGGAAGCUUCGGCCUCCGUAGCGGGAGGGGCCCGCGGCCCACUAGUGUGUUGGUGAGGUACCGGCUCACCAAGACCGCGAUGGGUAGCUGGUCUGAGAGGACGAUCAGCCACACUGGGACUGAGACACGGCCCAGACUCCUACGGGAGGCAGCAGUGGGGAAUCUUGCGCAAUGCGCGAAAGCGUGACGCAGCAACGCCGCGUGGGGGAAGAAGGCCUUCGGGUUGUAAACCCCUUUCAGGAGGGACGAAGGUUCGGCGGUGAAUAGCCGUCCGGACUGACGGUACCUCCACAAGAAGCCCCGGCUAACUACGUG
This 493-nucleotide ribosomal RNA is filed under the name uncultured bacterium. Its description in RNAcentral is "partial 16S ribosomal RNA". It matches the Rfam family "Bacterial small subunit ribosomal RNA", at positions 38 to 507 of the family's 1533-position model. The record is from RNAcentral.